UUAAGUACCGCUUUGUAAAGACUGAAAGCAAAUAAGAGAUUCCAAUUACAAGUUGUGAACGAGAAGGGGGGUUUUUUUUUUUGAAGCAACAACUUUAACAGACCAAGAGGGAAAAGAAGAAGCAGGUGAAGGCAUUUCUCAAAGCAAUUACAAUCUCCAGGACAUUACAUGAAGCACACAACAUAAUAUACAGUGACAUUACCAAUCUAAAUGAAUCAAAGGUCAACUUACUACAUCUUCUGAGACCCAAGGAGGAUAAUUCAGUGUUAUAGGCCCUUUUGCACAGACAGAUAUGCAAGAACAAAAGGAAUUAAAUUGCUAUUGCAAUUGAGCCUCUAUUCAUUAGACUAUAGCAACCAUCUAAAACAGCUAUUUUUUAAUCACCAACGAAAUUUGCUGCAAAUAAUGAUACAAUAAUAAAAUGGGAAUUCAUAGUUUUUUAAAGGAAAAAAAAAUAGCAAGUAGGCUAAAUAAGUAAAUGAACAAAACAAGAUGUUAGAAGUAUGGUUAAUGGCUUCACCUGUAAGGCUCCUUACAUGCAGAG
RNAcentral lists this unclassified non-coding RNA (544 nucleotides) under Hevea brasiliensis (rubber tree). Lineage: Eukaryota; Viridiplantae; Streptophyta; Magnoliopsida; Malpighiales; Euphorbiaceae. The record is from RNAcentral.